GAGGAUAUGAUGAUCCUUUCCCCAGAUGAUCGACAGUGAACAUUCUGUGCGCUAUAAUUUUUCUCUUUGGAGAAUCAAGCCAGAAUUCUGAUCCUC
This is a small nucleolar RNA of Phragmites australis (common reed), 96 nucleotides long. RefSeq annotates it as small nucleolar RNA Z103. The record is from RefSeq and is a predicted model, not a curated record. NCBI's taxonomy places the organism in Eukaryota, Viridiplantae, Streptophyta, Magnoliopsida, Poales, Poaceae. The transcript has a single exon.